CCCUUAGAUGUUCUCGGCCGCACACGCGCUACACUGAAAGAGGCAACGUGUUUGCCUGAUUCGAAAGAAUUGGGUAACCCCCUAAUCUCUUUCGUGCUGGGGAUUGAGGUUUACAAUUAUCCUUCAUGAACGAGGAAUUCCCAGUAAGUGCGAGUCAUUAUCUCGCGCUGACUACGUCCCUGCCCUUUGUACACACCGCCCGUCGCUACUACCGAUUGAAUGAUUUAGUGAGGACUUCGGACUGAGUCCAAUGCGGCUUUCGGGCUGCGUUGGUAUUUCGGAAAGAUGUCCAAACUGUAUCAUUUAGAGGAAGUAAAAGUCGUAACA
This 327-nucleotide ribosomal RNA is filed under the name uncultured eukaryote. RNAcentral describes it as "partial 18S ribosomal RNA". It matches the Rfam family "Eukaryotic small subunit ribosomal RNA", at positions 1470 to 1796 of the family's 1831-position model. The record is from RNAcentral.